This 496-nucleotide ribosomal RNA is filed under the name uncultured bacterium. RNAcentral describes it as "partial 16S ribosomal RNA". It matches the Rfam family "Bacterial small subunit ribosomal RNA", at positions 29 to 507 of the family's 1533-position model. The record is from RNAcentral.
AUGCACGCUGGCGGCGCGCCUAAUACAUGCCAGUCGAGCGAACAGACGAGGAGCUUGCUCCUCUGACGUUAGCGGCGGACGGGUGAGUAACACGUGGAUAACCUACCUAUAAGACUGGGAUAACUUCGGGAAACCGGAGCUAAUACCGGAUAAUAUAUUGAACCGCAUGGUUCAAUAGUGAAAGACGGUUUUGCUGUCACUUAUAGAUGGAUCCGCGCCGCAUUAGCUAGUUGGUAAGGUAACGGCUUACCAAGGCGACGAUGCGUAGCCGACCUGAGAGGGUGAUCGGCCACACUGGAACUGAGACACGGUCCAGACUCCUACGGGAGGCAGCAGUAGGGAAUCUUCCGCAAUGGGCGAAAGCCUGACGGAGCAACGCCGCGUGAGUGAUGAAGGUCUUCGGAUCGUAAAACUCUGUUAUUAGGGAAGAACAAAUGUGUAAGUAACUAUGCACGUCUUGACGGUACCUAAUCAGAAAGCCACGGCUAACUACGUG